GACGAACGCUGGCGGCGUGCCUAAUACAUGCAAGUAGAACGCACAGUUUAUACCGUAGCUUGCUACACCAUAAACUGUGAGUUGCGAAGGGGUGAGUAACGCGUAGGUAACCUGCCUGGUAGCGGGGGAUAACUAUUGGAAACGAUAGCUAAUACCGCAUAAUAUUGAUUAUUGCAUGAUAAUUGAUUGAAAGUUGCUAUUGCAUCACUACCAGAUGGACCUGCGUUGUAUUAGCUAGUAGGUGAGGUAACGGCUCACCUAGGCGACGAUACAUAGCCGACCGGCGAGGGUGCGCGGCCACACUGGGACUGAGACACGGCCCAGACUCCUAGGGGAGGCAGCAGUAGGGAAUCUUCGGCAAUGGACGAAAGUCUGACCGAGCAACGCCGCGUGAGUGAAGAAGGUUUUCGGAUCGUAAAGCUCUGUUGUAAGAGAAGAACGGGUGUGAGAGUGGAAAGUUCACACUGUGACGGUAUCUUACCAGAAAGGGACGGCUAACUACGUG
This 505-nucleotide ribosomal RNA is filed under the name uncultured bacterium. Its description in RNAcentral is "partial 16S ribosomal RNA". It matches the Rfam family "Bacterial small subunit ribosomal RNA", at positions 28 to 507 of the family's 1533-position model. The record is from RNAcentral.